AACAAACGCUGGCGGCGUGGCUAAGACAUGCAAGUCGAACGGAUUAGCUGAUUGAGUAAUCGAGACGCUAAUUAGUGGCGAAAGGGUUAGUAACGGAUAGGUAACGUACCCCGUGCUUCGGGAUAGCGCCGGUUGCUUCGGCAACCUUCCGAAAGGGGUGGUAAUACCGAGUAAUCUCAACGGAUGAUGGUCUGUUGAGCAAAGAUUUAUCGGCACAGGAGCGGCCUAUCUCCUAUCAGCUUGUUGGUGGGGUAAUGGCCUACCAAGGCUUCGACGGGUAGCGGGACUGAGAGGUUGACCCGCAACAUCGGGACUGAGACACUGCCCGGACCUCCACGGAGGGCUGCAGUAACGAAUAUUGCGCAAUGGGCGAAAGCCUGACGCAGCGACGCCGCGUGUGGGAGGAAGUCUUUCGGGAUGUAAACCACUGUCAGGGGUAAGAAAAUCCGCUCCGGCGGAUUGAUCCAACC
RNAcentral lists this ribosomal RNA (470 nucleotides) under uncultured bacterium. RNAcentral's name for it is "bacterial SSU rRNA". It matches the Rfam family "Bacterial small subunit ribosomal RNA", at positions 29 to 479 of the family's 1533-position model. The record is from RNAcentral.